Molecule: ribosomal RNA, 492 nt
Filed under: uncultured bacterium
Lineage: Bacteria
Description: partial 16S ribosomal RNA
Rfam family: Bacterial small subunit ribosomal RNA
Source: RNAcentral
AGUGAACGCUGGCGGUAGGCCUAACACAUGCAAGUCGAACGGCAGCACAGUAAGAGCUUGCUCUUACGGGUGGCGAGUGGCGGACGGGUGAGGAAUACAUCGGAAUCUACUUUUUCGUGGGGGAUAACGUAGGGAAACUUACGCUAAUACCGCAUACGACCUACGGGUGAAAGCAGGGGAUCUUCGGACCUUGCGCGAUUGAAUGAGCCGAUGGCGGAUUAGCUAGUUGGCGGGGUAAGGGCCCACCAAGGCGACGAUCCGUAGCUGGUCUGAGAGGAUGAUCAGCCACACUGGAACUGAGACACGGUCCAGACUCCUACGGGAGGCAGCAGUGGGGAAUAUUGGACAAUGGGCGCAAGCCUGAUCCAGCCAUACCGCGUGGGUGAAGAAGGCCUUCGGGUUGUAAAGCCCUUUUGUUGGGAAAGAAAAGCAGCAGGUUAAUACCCCGCUGUUCUGACGGUACCCAAAGAAUAAGCACCGGCUAACUUCGUG